Molecule: long non-coding RNA, 472 nt
Organism: Helicoverpa zea (corn earworm)
Lineage: Eukaryota; Metazoa; Arthropoda; Insecta; Lepidoptera; Noctuidae
Exons: 3
Source: RefSeq, a predicted model, not a curated record
ACAAACCAAUUUAACUUAAAUAGCCAUAUUGCCACUUGUUUUAACUAAAAUGAAAUAUUUCUACCAACAAACUUUUCAUCCAUUAAACUCUUGUUAAAAACUCCAUUUUCGUUUUCAGCUGAAGGUCAGUCUACACAAAAUGAUGACUCUGAUGAGGAAGGGCAUUCCAGAAGAAAGAUAAGUCAAUAUACUACACCCAAAAAAGUUGCCAAUGAUGAGAAGUGGACUAAUUGGAAGCCAAAAUCUCUGCGCUCCAAAAAACAUCCUGCCUUAUCUGCUGAGAAGAUGAAAAGGCCAUUCGAAAGAGUAGCUGAUGCAAAAUUAGAGAUUGCAGAUUUACAGAAGAAGAUUCUGGAGGAAGAAUUCUUAAAUAAAAGAAAGCAAUGGGCCUUUGAAGAGGAAGAAAGGGAGCACAAAAGAGAAAUGUGGGCGUUGGAAAAAAAAUACUUUUUAAAUAAAUUUGAAAAAUAAA